CCUACGGGAGGCAGCAGUAGGGAAUAUUGCUCAAUGGGGGAAACCCUGAAGCAGCAACGCCGCGUGGAGGAUGAAGGUUUUCGGAUUGUACACUCCUUUUGUUAGAGAAGAUAAUGACGGUAUCUAACGAAUAAGAACCGGCUAACUCCGUGCCAGCAGCCGCGGUAAUACGGAGGGGGCAAGCGUUACUCGGAAUCACUGGGCGGAAAGAGCGCGUAGGCGGGAUAGCAAGUCAGAUGUGAAAUCCUAUGGCUUAACCAUAGAACUGCAUUUGAAACUGUUAUUCUAGAGUAUGGGAGAGGUAGGUGGAAUUCUUGGUGUAGGGGUAAAAUCCGUAGAGAUCAAGAGGAAUACUCAUUGCGAAGGCGACCUGCUAGAACAUAACUGACGCUGAUGCGCGAAAGCGUGGGGAGCAAACAGGAGUAGAUACCCGGGUAGUC
This 440-nucleotide ribosomal RNA is filed under the name uncultured bacterium. RNAcentral's name for it is "partial 16S ribosomal RNA". It matches the Rfam family "Bacterial small subunit ribosomal RNA", at positions 338 to 795 of the family's 1533-position model. The record is from RNAcentral.